Molecule: ribosomal RNA, 372 nt
Filed under: uncultured bacterium
Lineage: Bacteria
Description: bacterial SSU rRNA
Rfam family: Bacterial small subunit ribosomal RNA
Source: RNAcentral
UACGGAGGAUGCGAGCGUUAUCCGGAUUUAUUGGGUUUAAAGGGUGCGUAGGCGGAUUGAUAAGUCAGUGGUGAAAACCUGCAGCUUAACUGUAGACUUGCCGUUGAUACUGUCAGUCUUGAGUGUGGUCAAGGUAGGCGGAAUGUGUAAUGUAGCGGUGAAAUGCUUAGAUAUUACACAGAAUACCGAUUGCGAAGGCAGCUUACUGGGCCAUUACUGACGCUGAUGCACGAAAGCGUGGGGAUCGAACAGGAUUAGAUACCCUGGUAGUCCACGCCGUAAACGAUGAUCACUCGCUGUUAGCGAUACACAGUUAGCGGCUAAGCAAAAGCAUUAAGUGAUCCACCUGGGGAGUACGGCCGCAAGGCUGAA